GUGAAUAUCCACUUACACCCUAUGGACUUUAUCCUUUCGAGUGGAUCAACGAGUGUACAUACACCAUUGACAAUUAUAGACUCCAUUUCAGACUUUAUGGCUCUAAGCCAUUAAUCAAAGUCGGACCUCUGCAUAGCAUCUAUGUAGGUGAUCAGAUCCUUGUUAUUCUCAUCGAGUUCAAUAGGAUCACGUCCUGAGAUUAGAAAUUGAAGUAUCU
RNAcentral lists this long non-coding RNA (217 nucleotides) under Elaeis guineensis (African oil palm). Its description in RNAcentral is "long non-coding RNA (EGUI_LNC004425)". Lineage: Eukaryota; Viridiplantae; Streptophyta; Magnoliopsida; Arecales; Arecaceae. The record is from RNAcentral.